This 341-nucleotide unclassified non-coding RNA is filed under the name Hevea brasiliensis (rubber tree). Lineage: Eukaryota; Viridiplantae; Streptophyta; Magnoliopsida; Malpighiales; Euphorbiaceae. The record is from RNAcentral.
UAUCGGACGGCAACUGGAAAGGUACCUGUUUGUCAUGUUGGUGGCUAUAUUUAGUAUGUGAAACUGAUUAAAACCUGGCUUGACUGAGGUUGCAAAGCUUGCAAGACAUUUGAAUAGAUAAAUUUCAAAAUUCCAUAUUUCCAUUAUUGGGAAAUAUUUGACUGGGAGUCCUUGCAUGCAUUUGAGUAUUAAAUUCUUAGAAGUAUCAUAUUUAGUAUAGCAUAUCAAUUUAUGCCUACUAUUCAGAUGCUACUUUUCAAGGAAGUUAUUUUAAAUUGCUUUGUGUUGGCUAAUGAUCAAAUAUGGAAAUGAAAUGAAAUUCUGCAGGCUGGUGUAGUGAG